UCAGCUUCCACACCCCGCACCUACUCUCAGGCAUCCCUGAACUCUAGGACUGUGCAGAGAGGGCCGGCCUAGUCCCCAGUCCAUCUUCCUGGGGCCAGCAGUUACCCUCUUCCACUCCUGACACGGAGAAGAGAAGGUUCUUGUUGCCGGGAAGAUACACCAGGGCCUCUGGGAGUCAGGGCUCCCAGGCGUCUCUCAGCAACGGAGGACUCUUCCUCACGUGUCCCCGGACAGCAAGACUGAGGCGCUCUCCUGAGAAUGGGUACCAAGUGUGAAGAUAACUUUUGUUAUAAGCAGAUGCCCUGCAAAGUCAUCUGCUGUAGAGGAAGCUUCAAUAACCCAGCCAACGAGCUGCUCACCGGGUUGUGAGGGACAUCACCUAGACAAAUGCAUAUACUUUAUAGCAUAAUGAAAUGGAUAAAACCUAAAAGAUUUCAUUUUUGGAAAGAUGGCAGUAAGGAUCAGGGACCAGUA
This is a non-coding RNA of Odocoileus virginianus texanus, 474 nucleotides long. The record is from RefSeq and is a predicted model, not a curated record. NCBI's taxonomy places the organism in Eukaryota, Metazoa, Chordata, Mammalia, Artiodactyla, Cervidae.